This 253-nucleotide ribosomal RNA is filed under the name uncultured bacterium. RNAcentral's name for it is "partial 16S ribosomal RNA". It matches the Rfam family "Bacterial small subunit ribosomal RNA", at positions 524 to 776 of the family's 1533-position model. The record is from RNAcentral.
UACGAAGGGGGCUAGCGUUGCUCGGAAUCACUGGGCGUAAAGGGUGCGUAGGCGGGUUUUUAAGUCAGAGGUGAAAUCCUGGAGCUCAACUCCAGAACUGCCUUUGAUACUGAGAAUCUUGAGUAUGGGAGAGGUGAGUGGAACUGCGAGUGUAGAGGUGAAAUUCGUAGAUAUUCGCAAGAACACCAGUGGCGAAGGCGGCCGCCUGGGCCAGUCCUGACGCUGAGCCGCGAAAGCGUGGGGAGCGAUCCGG